ACGAGAAAAUAACAUUUACCAUUCAUUAAGUGGAAGUGGAUCAUCAUAAAGGUCUUCAUCCUUGUAGUCUUCACGUUCAGUAGGCUGCUUGGGAGGAGGAAGAGGAGGAGUGGGUCUUGCUAUCUCAGGAGCGGCAGAGGUGGAAGAAAGUCCAUCGGAUAAACUGCUUCCCUAGAAAUCCUCUCCAGUAUCCUUGCCUCCACGACUUUGGGACACGUUGACCAUGAGGAGGAGCUGGUCAAUGAUGGACAGGAGUCCAGAUUAGCAGAGAUGUGGUAAUAAGGAUACUGACGCGUAAAUACUUGAAAUAUCCAAUAGGAAGCAUUCCACCUUUGUGCAAAUGUGAACCACAUCUCACCAAGUUCAGGCCAAGGCUGCCACCAGUGACGUUUUGAAAGAGGAAAAAAAAAAAGGUAGAGGAGAGAAACAGAGAAGCAAGGGUUGCAGAAGAGAGCAGAGGCCGCAAAAACAGCAGCAACGUGUCCCUUGUAUUCUGUUUCCUUGUAAAGCUAUGAAGCACAUUAAGGAGACACUUCAUUUUUUGAGGAUUCAUGUUCUUGUUUAUAUUAUAAUAAACAUGACACAUGUUCUUUCUAAAAAUUUAGGCAAUGCAUUCAUGCACAUAAAAGUAAAACAAAAUCACCUAUAAUCCUACCACACGCAGAUCAGCACUUGUUCAUCUUUUCACAGGGAUCCUAAGAAUAUCCUGUUCUCUAUAGAAUAUAGUUAAUUUCUGUUACCUAAUAACUAACUGGUAACCAUUUUAAAAUUGUUCAGUUUUACAUUAUGCUAGAAAAAAGGAGCCGUCACUCUAGGUGACAUUUCUGUAUAUUGGUUCAUUCAUUCAAUGAGGAUGUUUUAAGUACCUAC
This is a long non-coding RNA of Cercocebus atys (sooty mangabey), 870 nucleotides long. RefSeq lists it as uncharacterized. The record is from RefSeq and is a predicted model, not a curated record. The transcript has 2 exons. NCBI's taxonomy places the organism in Eukaryota, Metazoa, Chordata, Mammalia, Primates, Cercopithecidae.